CGGCGUGUAGCGCAGCCUGGUAGCGCACUUGCAUCGAGUUCGAAUCCCGCCACGCCGACCA
This 61-nucleotide transfer RNA is filed under the name Burkholderiales bacterium. RNAcentral describes it as "tRNA-Ser". The record is from RNAcentral. Lineage: Bacteria; Pseudomonadati; Pseudomonadota; Betaproteobacteria; Burkholderiales.